This is a long non-coding RNA of Capsicum annuum, 4738 nucleotides long. RefSeq lists it as uncharacterized. Lineage: Eukaryota; Viridiplantae; Streptophyta; Magnoliopsida; Solanales; Solanaceae. The record is from RefSeq and is a predicted model, not a curated record. The transcript is spliced from 7 exons.
GUCACAACGUACAAGAACAUUUCAUUUUCAUCAGCUUUACUUGAACAAAGUGUUUUUUCUCUUUCCAGCUCAACUCUCUCUUUGUUUAUCCUUUGAGUUUCCAUUCUUCUAGUCAAAUGUAUAACUCAAACCAAAUUUGAUGAAAUUCAAAGAGGAAAUUCAUGAAGGAGCUUACACUAGAAUGAAUUUUGCUUUAAUUAUGUCAAGUCGGAUUUUCUUUCUUCAUUUCUUUCAGUUCGGCUUAGGGUCUAAGUACUUGUAUUCCUCUUCGAUCCUUCUUCUUACAGACCUCGUAAAUGCAUUUUUAUUUCUUAAAUCUGUUAUUUAUACCUAAUUUUUUUAUUAAACCUUCAAAUCGGUGUUUUAUUUGAUUUGCAUAUCUGAAACUUUUUUUCUUGCAUGGUAGCUCAAGUUUAGUAGAUGAAGAAUGCAUUUGUCAUUUAUUGAAAUCUGUUCAUUUUUAUUUGAUUCUUCAAAGAGGAAAUUCAUGGAGGAGCAAAAAAAAGUCGUGAUUAGCAUACGGCGAUGGUUUUGAAGGAGAAUGAUGCAGCGAAAUGGGGUUACAGAGGAGAAGGAGCUGUGAAUCUUGUGCUUUCUCAUAAUGGACAUUAUCCCCAUUUUGACACUGAGUAAUUCUGCCGACCAAAGUGGGAGCAGAUGUGUUCAGCUUUGUGUUGUUGUAGCUGGAGAUUUGGACUUGGGAUCUUCAGGUUGUUGAUCACAUGCCUCAACUGCUUAGCAUUGUGGGAGAAUACAGUUUUCUUUCUCAAAUGUCUAGGUUUUUUUUCCUUCCCCUAUCAAUGGUAAAAAAGCCCUUUCCAGAAAACGAUUUAGAAAAUGCCUUAUUUAUGCAGAUGUUCCAUUUGCCGGCAGAGAUAUGGGUGAUUAAACAAUUAAGGCAUGUCUAUUUCAGUCAAUGCUGCUACUUUCGUAGUAUUCAGCCUGAACAAAAAAGUAUCCGCUCCAGUUAAGUCGCUCUAAUGUUGCAUUAACCAAUCUGCAAACCCUUUCUUACAUUACCUUUGGUAGUAUUACAAGACACAUCUUUGAAGGCAUGGCCAACCUGAAGAAGUUAGGAAUUCGUGAAAGUGAAGAAUUGUGCUUGACUGCUGAACAAAUAUCUGGAAAACUCAAGAAGCUGGUUUUGUUGGCGCACCUUGAAAUAUUCAAGGGUUUCUUUAUCAAACCAUGAAUACUUGAACAAUGUGAUACUUUUCCACGAACCCUCAAGAAAUUGACGUCGCGGGGGUGCCAACUGCCAUGGGACCAAAUGACGAUACUGUGCAAGUUACCCAAACUCGAGGUGCUUAAGCUCCAAAGAUUAUACUCGCCAACUGCCAUGGGACCAAAUGACGAUACUUUGAACCUUAAGUCCUGCUUUCAUCUGAUAUUUGGUGCACCCCCUCGACAAGCAAAGAGUCUAAUGCAGAGGAAAGUCGGGCUUUCCGGCCGGAAUGAUUCAUCAACUUGGUUUCUUUUGGGAAGUUACUAUGUAUAUACAUUGGAGACUUGAAAUAAAGGUACUUGUUGCAGCCAUGGUUAUGAUUCUUUUGGUCUCAGCAAGAAGCCAGAAAACUUUGUCAAGGUGUCAAAGGACCUUCCUUUUUUACUUGCUGAUGGAUAUGUUGAUCUUGAGCUUCAGAUUGAUUUCUUGCCAUAAGAAUGGGACACUUUCUACUAUUAUGCCCUAAAGUUCCACAUGAUCCGCACUUCUUUUUUCUACCCCUUCUCGAUGCUUUUAAUAAAGUAAGCUUCCCAGAAUUUGAUUCUUUUUGAGUUGUCUCAUCAAUUCCUCUCUUCCUUGAUAUUUUUGGUCUACCUGGUUGUGCUUUGUAUAUGGGUGGCAGUGGUGGUUCUAUCCCCGUCUUAGGCCAUUGAUCAAUGCUAACAAUUGGCAAGAUUGAUGGAUUAUAACUCUUCAAGUACUGUUUAACUGUGUAGCAUACAUUUAAGGUUUAUUCUUCUUAAACCAUAUCGCUGCAAUAGCAUGAUUACAAGGAAUUCCUGUUAAUUCCCAUCUCCUACAUGAAUAAAUUUUCUUUUUAAGAUCAACAGAAAAUAGCCUAAGAUAGAUGUCCUUAAUUUGAUUGUGAAAUUGAUCAGAUUUAGCGACAAUACAUUCAGCAGCUUUAGCCUUAUUUUUCUCCAGUUUCACUUUGAUCCUCGGACAGAUUAUCCGACAAUACUUCAUCAUUUUUUCUCUUUUCUUUUGAAGUCUGGGCAUCAAGUAGAUCCUAAUUGAUUCAAUCAUUGUCCAAAUAUGCAUCUCUUACAUGUAGAAGUACAUUGUUGAAUGACUCACAUAAAUUGUUUAAUAACACAUCACACUUUGAAAAAAAAAAAGAAAAAAGCCCUUGACCAGUGAAUGGGAGGCUUAUUAAUGAACCAUUCCGAGGCUUUUGGAUCUAAUUUUACCAUUACUUUCAUACGCUUGGAGAAUUCAGGUACUGUAGUUGCCCUGGCAGCCGUCCAUAGGACAUCUUUCAGUAUUUAUCCCCCAAAACCUUCGAUCUUAAAAUUACUGUUCAGAUGUCCCGCACAAAAUCUGUGCGCAACAUCUGGCAUUGUCUCAUCAAAUACUGGAAUUAAACAUUUUUGCUUAUCUGAAAUGAAAGUCCAUGCAAAAGGAUUUUGUGAGAUGCCUAAGUCCUCAUCAAGAAGUGUAAGGAACCAACUCCAUGUUUCCUUCAAUUCACCUUCCACUGUUGCGAGUUCAAUAGGAUACAUGUUGUCGCUUCCAUCAAUGCCUACUGCGGUCAAUAGCUGCCCUCCCCUUUUGGUUCCCUUUCAAAUGACAUCCAUCAACUCCUAUUAUAGGUCGACACUAGCUAAGAACCCCUAUUUACAAGCUGCAAAACACACAGAGAGUCUUAAAAACCAUUUUCUACCAUCGACCAUUGUUUUUGGAUUUUCAUUCAACUUCAAAAUACAUGUUGUCCCUAGAUUACUCCUCCUUAGCUCUGCAAAGUAAUCCCACAACAUAUCAUAUUGCUCGAAAGGUUCAUUUUGAUUAGCUUUCGAUGCAAAUAUAAAUCAUUUGCAACUUGGAAACUUACAAGUUGCCCUCUACCUCCUACAUUCAUUUUUUUUUUUAACUUGAUAUCUUUGUUUUGACUCACAGCAUGUACUUCAAUUGCCCAUUUGAAUUCUUUGCUAUUACUAAAAAUCAUAUUAAGCCCAAACUUAAAUUUUGGAUCCUCCAAAUUCCUAGUUGGAUUAAAAACAGUGAACUUUUUCUGAUUUUCAUCAUCAGAAUCUCCAUGUAAACUCAUUAAUUUCUCGUCUGAUAUGGCACAAUCAUCUUCUUGAGUGUUAUUAGGGCACAUGUCCAGCAUGUUUGAGGCAACUCCAAACUCCAUAGUGUUUCCUUUAACUUGAUUAUCUUUACUUCUCCCAUUAACACCAACCCAUUCUACGGUAGAGUCUUUUUUUAUCAAAAAGCAUGUCAUCUUCUUGUAAGAAAUAAUCAGAGUCAUGAAAUGACUCACAUUCUUCACUUGUGGCAUUACUCUCAUCAUCUUUCUCUAUUACAUCCACAUCUACUAGGCCUUCGUCACCAUGUAGUAUUGGCUCACCCUCAGAAUCAACCACAUUAUAGCUCCAUCUAUCCUCAUCUGUGUGUUCGAUGAAUAUUUCCACCACUUUACUAUUGGGUAUUUUAUAGACAAGGCUAUAUAUAUCCAAAUUAGUUGAUAAAAGUCUAGUAUACGUCUCAAAAAAGGCCCAAAUUUGAAUCAAAAUUUCACUUUUCUAUCAUCGACUUUCAAUUUUUUCAUACACGGCCUCAUUUGAAUGAUAGAAUUUUUGUCGCCAUUGCAAUAGUCAUAAUAAGCUAUUUGUCCACUAACAUAGUUCAUCUCUGGUUCAAACACCCACUGACCUUUGUAGUACCUUUGUGGUGUAGUUAAAUGGUGUACAUAUUUGGAUCAUCGCCUUCAUCUGUUAUGAGAAUAGCAAAAUUAGAAGCUGUUAGGGUUAUUUCAAUAAGUAGAACUAACAUUAAAAAGUAUAAUCGAUCAUAUAAUUUCAGAAUGUGCACCACAAUAUUUAAUUUUUAUGUUUCUUGCCGAAAACGUUUAACAAAAAUUAUUCUUUAUGUAAAAUAGUAAUAAGAAAAUAAAAAUUAAAUGUUUUAUUUUUAUUCUUAAUUCUAUAAUACUGUAGCAUUCAAUGUUAUGUCUUGGAAUGACCAAAAUACAAUCGUUGUUAUGUAGAAAAUUAGUUAUGCAAUUCAGAAGUAUACAAAACUUAAUACAAACUAAAUAUUUAGAGCGAAGUCAUGCGGAAAAGUUUAAUUAAAUUAAAGGGAUAACAAGCAGUGACUGUAUUGACAGAUCUGUUAACACUUCAAGAAGUAUGUAGUAAGUAUGUAGUAGUGAGUACUGCUAAUUAACAAUUCUUUUUAGAUAUCCACAAAUGCGGUCAAGUAGACAUCUCACAAAUGUGGUCAUCUAUUAAGAGUUUAAAAGGAUAAUUAACACUUCUUUUUUAUUUGACUUACAACAUGUAUACUUCAAUAUAUUUUCAAUUCAUGUAUUCAGUUGCAAUACAAAUGUAUUCACUGUUAUGCAUUAAUUAAAUUAAAGGUUUUGUUCUUUUCUCAUCCAGCAAUAUUAAAGAUCUAGUGUAAUUAAACUUGAUUGAGUACUCACAUGUUGGCGUGGAUUGCAGUCUGCUCUUGUAAUGCUAACGCAGUUUCAUUAUUGAAAAUAUUGAUUAUCUUUCUUUCUUUUCACAA